AGCCUCGUGGUGUAGGGCACAUCAAAUUGCAAAUUUGAGAGUGCAGGUUAGUUACCUGCCGGGGCUU
RNAcentral lists this transfer RNA (67 nucleotides) under Acestrorhynchus sp. NM-2010. Its description in RNAcentral is "tRNA-Cys". It matches the Rfam family "tRNA". Rfam says of the family: Transfer RNA (tRNA) molecules are approximately 80 nucleotides in length. The record is from RNAcentral. Lineage: Eukaryota; Metazoa; Chordata; Actinopteri; Characiformes; Acestrorhynchidae.